This 478-nucleotide ribosomal RNA is filed under the name uncultured organism. Its description in RNAcentral is "partial 16S ribosomal RNA". It matches the Rfam family "Bacterial small subunit ribosomal RNA", at positions 331 to 800 of the family's 1533-position model. The record is from RNAcentral.
GUACACUCCUGCGGGAGGCAGCAGUGGGGAAUAUUGCACAAUGGGCGCAAGCCUGAUGCAGCCAUGCCGCGUGUAUGAAGAAGGCCUUCGGGUUGUAAAGUACUUUCAGCGGGGAGGAAGGCGAUAAGGUUAAUAACCUUGUCGAUUGACGUUACCCGCAGAAGAAGCACCGGCUAACUCCGUGCCAGCAGCCGCGGUAAUACGGAGGGUGCAAGCGUUAAUCGGAAUUACUGGGCGUAAAGCGCACGCAGGCGGUCUGUCAAGUCGGAUGUGAAAUCCCCGGGCUCAACCUGGGAACUGCAUUCGAAACUGGCAGGCUAGAGUCUUGUAGAGGGGGGUAGAAUUCCAGGUGUAGCGGUGAAAUGCGUAGAGAUCUGGAGGAAUACCGGUGGCGAAGGCGGCCCCCUGGACAAAGACUGACGCUCAGGUGCGAAAGCGUGGGGAGCAAACAGGAUUAGAAACCCCAGUAGUCCCAUGA